CGCGAAUGCCUCAGCUACGGCGAGUGAAGCGGCAAGAGCUCAAAUUUGAAAGCUGGCUCCUUCGGGGUCCGCAUUGUAAUUUGCAGAGGAUGUUUCGGGAGCAGCCCCCAUCUAAGUGUCCUGGAACGGACCGUCAUAGAGGGUGAGAAUCCCGUAUGGGAUGGGGUGUCUGCGCCCAUGUGAAACUCCUUCGACGAGUCGAGUUGUUUGGGAAUGCAGCUCUAAAUGGGUGGUAAAUUUCAUCUAAAGCUAAAUAUUGGCCGGAGACCGAUAGCGCACAAGUAGAGUGAUCGAAAGAUGAAAAGCACUUUGAAAAGAGAGUUAAAAAGCACGUGAAAUUGUUGAAAGGGAAGCGCUUGCGAUCAGACUCGCCUUGGGGGUUCAGCCGGCAUUCGUGCCGGUGUACUUCCCCCAGGGCGGGCCAGCGUCGGUUUGGGUGGCCGGUCAAAGGCCCUUGGAAUGUAACGCCUCUCGGGGCGUCUUAUAGCCAAGGGUGCCAUGCGGCCUACCUGGACCGAGGAACGCGCUUCGGCUCGGACGCUGGCAUAAUGGUCGUAAGCGACCCGUCUUGA
RNAcentral lists this ribosomal RNA (572 nucleotides) under Penicillium glabrum. RNAcentral describes it as "LSU rRNA". It matches the Rfam family "Eukaryotic large subunit ribosomal RNA", at positions 70 to 657 of the family's 3401-position model. Lineage: Eukaryota; Fungi; Ascomycota; Eurotiomycetes; Eurotiales; Aspergillaceae. The record is from RNAcentral.